Molecule: transfer RNA, 89 nt
Filed under: Firmicutes bacterium CAG:631
Lineage: Bacteria; Bacillati; Bacillota
Rfam family: tRNA
About the family: Transfer RNA (tRNA) molecules are approximately 80 nucleotides in length. Their secondary structure includes four short double-helical elements and three loops (D, anti-codon, and T loops).
Source: Rfam by way of RNAcentral
GGAGCGGUAUCGAAGUGGUUAUAACGAGACUGACUCGAAAUCAGUUGUAUCUUUUUAAGGUACCGUGGGUUCGAAUCCCACCCGUUCCG